Molecule: ribosomal RNA, 1111 nt
Filed under: Enterobacter cloacae
Lineage: Bacteria; Pseudomonadati; Pseudomonadota; Gammaproteobacteria; Enterobacterales; Enterobacteriaceae
Description: bacterial SSU rRNA
Rfam family: Bacterial small subunit ribosomal RNA
Source: RNAcentral
GACUAUUGCCGGACCGCUGAGUAAUGUCUGGGAAACUGCCUGAUGGAGGGGGAUAACUACUGGAAACGGUAGCUAAUACCGCAUAAUGUCGCAAGACCAAAGAGGGGGACCUUCGGGCCUCUUGCCAUCAGAUGUGCCCAGAUGGGAUUAGCUAGUAGGUGGGGUAACGGCUCACCUAGGCGACGAUCCCUAGCUGGUCUGAGAGGAUGACCAGCCACACUGGAACUGAGACACGGUCCAGACUCCUACGGGAGGCAGCAGUGGGGAAUAUUGCACAAUGGGCGCAAGCCUGAUGCAGCCAUGCCGCGUGUAUGAAGAAGGCCUUCGGGUUGUAAAGUACUUUCAGCGGGGAGGAAGGUGUUGCGGUUAAUAACCGCAGCAAUUGACGUUACCCGCAGAAGAAGCACCGGCUAACUCCGUGCCAGCAGCCGCGGUAAUACGGAGGGUGCAAGCGUUAAUCGGAAUUACUGGGCGUAAAGCGCACGCAGGCGGUCUGUCAAGUCGGAUGUGAAAUCCCCGGGCUCAACCUGGGAACUGCAUUCGAAACUGGCAGGCUGGAGUCUUGUAGAGGGGGGUAGAAUUCCAGGUGUAGCGGUGAAAUGCGUAGAGAUCUGGAGGAAUACCGGUGGCGAAGGCGGCCCCCUGGACAAAGACUGACGCUCAGGUGCGAAAGCGUGGGGAGCAAACAGGAUUAGAUACCCUGGUAGUCCACGCCGUAAACGAUGUCGAUUUGGAGGUUGUGCCCUUGAGGCGUGGCUUCCGGAGCUAACGCGUUAAAUCGACCGCCUGGGGAGUACGGCCGCAAGGUUAAAACUCAAAUGAAUUGACGGGGGCCCGCACAAGCGGUGGAGCAUGUGGUUUAAUUCGAUGCAACGCGAAGAACCUUACCUGGUCUUGACAUCCACAGAACUUUCCAGAGAUGGAUUGGUGCCUUCGGGAACUGUGAAACAGGUGCUGCAUGGCUGUCGUCACCUCGUGUUGUGAAAUGUUGGGUUAAGUCCCGCAACGAGCGCAACCCUUAUCCUUUGUUGCCAGCGGUUCGGCCGGGAACUCAAAGGAAACUGCCAUUGAUAAACUGGAGGAAGGGGGGGGAAGACGUCAAGUCUUCUUC